UCUUGGUCAUUUUAGAGGAAGUAAAAGUCGUAACAAGGUUUUCCGUAGGUGAACCUGCGGAAGGAUCAUUAUCGAAAUUAUUGGUGAGGGUUGUAGCUGGCCUUUCGAGGCAUGUGCACGCUCGAGCCCUUAAUCCACUUUACACCUGUGCACUUAAUGUAGGUCGCCCUUAAAAAAGGUGACCUAUGUCUUAUCAUCAACCCAUCGUAUGUCUCAUAGAAUGUAAUCGAUAUCCUCGCCCUAAAAAAGCGUUGAUAAACUUAUACAACUUUCAACAACGGAUCUCUUGGCUCUCGCAUCGAUGAAGAACGCAGCGAAAUGCGAUAAGUAAUGUGAAUUGCAGAUUUUCAGUGAAUCAUCGAAUCUUUGAACGCACCUUGCGCUCCUUGGUAUUCCGAGGAGCAUGCCUGUUUGAGUGUCAUUAAAUUCUCAACUCCAAGGGUUUCACGACCUUUCGGAGAUUGGACUUGGAGGUGCUGGCCGCAUAUUGGUCGGCUCCUCUCAAAUGCAUCAGCGGAAUUCAACCUUUGGCUUCCGGAUGUCAGUGUGAUAAUCAUGUUGCGCUGUCGUUUGAUCCCUCAGAGUCCGCUUAUAAUGGUCUUCGGACAAAAUCAUCAUCAAAUUUGACCUCAAAUCAGGUAGGACUACCCGCUGAACUUAAGCAUAUCAAUAAGCGGAGAAAGGCGAAUCCGUAUCG
RNAcentral lists this ribosomal RNA (697 nucleotides) under uncultured fungus. RNAcentral's name for it is "eukaryotic LSU rRNA". The stretch from base 267 to 421 matches the Rfam family "5.8S ribosomal RNA". Lineage: Eukaryota; Fungi. The record is from RNAcentral.